RNAcentral lists this ribosomal RNA (497 nucleotides) under uncultured bacterium. Its description in RNAcentral is "bacterial SSU rRNA". It matches the Rfam family "Bacterial small subunit ribosomal RNA", at positions 23 to 510 of the family's 1533-position model. The record is from RNAcentral.
CUCAGAUUGAACGCUGGCGGCAUGCUUUACACAUGCAAGUCGAACGGCAGCGGGGGCUUCGGCCUGCCGGCGAGUGGCGAACGGGUGAGUAAUGCAUCGGAACGUGCCCAUGUCGUGGGGGGAUAACGUAGCGAAAGCUACGCUAAUACCGCAUACGCCCUGAGGGGGAAAGCGGGGGAUUCUUCGGAACCUCGCGCGAUUGGAGCGGCCGAUGUCGGAUUAGCUAGUAGGUGAGGUAAAGGCUCACCUAGGCGACGAUCCGUAGCGGGGUCUGAGAGGAUGAUCCGCCACACUGGGACUGAGACACGGCCCAGACUCCUACGGGAGGCAGCAGUGGGGAAUUUUGGACAAUGGGCGCAAGCCUGAUCCAGCCAUGCCGCGUGAGUGAAGAAGGCCUUCGGGUUGUAAAGCUCUUUCGGCCGGGAAGAAAUCGUGGUCUCUAACAUAGGCCAUGGAUGACGGUACCGGACUAAGAAGCACCGGCUAACUACGUGCCA